UGAGGAAUUUUGGUCAAUGGGGGAAACCCUGAACCAGCGACGCCGCGUGCGGGAUGAAGGAGCUUUGCUCUGUAAACCGCUGUCGGGAGGGAAGAAAAGCCGGGUCGCCCGGCUGGGACAGUACCUCCAAAGGAAGGAUCGGCUAACUACGUGCCAGCAGCCGCGGUAAUACGUAGGAUCCAAGCGUUGUCCGGAUUUACUGGGUGUAAAGGGUGCGCAGGCGGAUUUGUGCGUCAGAGGUUAAAGACUUCGGCUUAACCGAAGAAAUGCCUUUGAUACGGCAAGUCUUGAGUACGAGAGAGGAUGAUAGAAUUCUUGGUGUAGCGGUGAAAUGCGUAGAUAUCAAGAGGAAUACCAGUGGCGAAGGCGGUCAUCUGGCUCGUAACUGACGCUCAGGCACGAAAGCGUGGGGAGCAAACAGG
Molecule: ribosomal RNA, 422 nt
Filed under: uncultured Chlorobiota bacterium
Lineage: Bacteria; Pseudomonadati; Chlorobiota
Description: bacterial SSU rRNA
Rfam family: Bacterial small subunit ribosomal RNA
Source: RNAcentral